This 406-nucleotide ribosomal RNA is filed under the name uncultured bacterium. RNAcentral describes it as "partial 16S ribosomal RNA". It matches the Rfam family "Bacterial small subunit ribosomal RNA", at positions 29 to 526 of the family's 1533-position model. The record is from RNAcentral.
AUUGAACGCUGGCGGCAGGCCUAACACAUGCAAGUCGAACGAGUAGCGGAGGGGUGAGUAAUGUCUGGGAAAGUGCGUGAUGGAGGGGGAUAACUACGGGAAACGGUAGAAAAUAGCGCAAACCAUGCUUUGGGCCGAGACGGGAUUAUCUAGUGGGUGGGGUAAUGGCACACCGAGGCGACGAUCCCUAGCGGGUCUGAGAGGAUGACCAGCCACACUGGAACUGAGACACGGUCCAGACUCCUACGGGAGGCAGCAGUGGGGAAUAUUGCACAAUGGGCGAAAGCCUGAUGCAGCCAUGCCGCGUGUGUGAAGAAGGCCUUCGGGUUGUAAAGCACUUUCGGCGAGGAGGCGUUACUCGCAGAAGAAGCACCGGCUAACUCCGUGCCAGCAGCCGCGGUAAUUC